Long non-coding RNA from Sus scrofa (pig), 2955 nucleotides. RefSeq lists it as uncharacterized. Lineage: Eukaryota; Metazoa; Chordata; Mammalia; Artiodactyla; Suidae. The record is from RefSeq and is a predicted model, not a curated record.
CUACACCACAGCUCACGGCAACGCCGGAUCGUUAACCCACUGAGCGAGGCCAGGGACCGAACCGCAACCUCAUGGUUCCUAGUCGGAUUCGUUAACCACUGCGCCACGACGGGAACUCCAAAGGGCUUAAUUUAUUUGAGGAACCUGGUUUGAGAAAGUCAGUCUAGUAGAGCAGGUUGGAGUGGAGUGGUGGGGGCGGCGAUAGAGAGCUGGGAUGCCUUCGAGUGCCCAACAGGGAUUUCAGGUGUGCUUUCUGGAAGAAAUGAAGUCUGAUAGGAAAGUAAGCUCUAACCACAUGAAGAGUAGGGAAGAGAGACCUGAUGGAAAGGAGAGCCUAGUCCGCUCUAAAUCCUAAAUGUUAUUUACUAGCUGGAACGGAGGCUGUGAGGGGGAAAGGAGUCCUUGUCAGCCUCGUCUGGGGCUCCUUCUCACUGGGGACUGGCAGUGCCAGUUGUGGACUUGAAGACCCAGAUCCUGCUGUGUGAAUAUUAACAUGAGCUGGAUACUGUUGGAGUCCUUGGUACACAUUUCUUUUCCUGAAGCCGCUGGUGACGUGAGGUUUGUAACACACUAUGGUGGAGCAUCUUCAGUCUCUAAACAUCAUAGUCUCAGCUACUCUGGGGUAAGGUCUGGUUGUCUUUUGACAGUGAAGAGGUUGAGCCUUGGCAGCCUGAGUAUAUUGCUUUGGGCCUUCUGUCUGUCCGCUUUAAUCCAUGCUUAGUGCUGGGUGGGGUAUUCCUUUUAGGGAAGUCUGGUUCCUUGCAACUCAAAGUGUGGUCUGUACACUGGCAAUAUUGCAGAAUCUUGGGCUCUACCCCAAGAUCCACUGAAUGCGAAUCUGCAUUUUAACAAGAUUCCCAGGUGCAUGAGCAUUUAAUUUUGAGAAACCAUCAUGCGAUGAUUAAAGAAUUCUUUAACUCUUCUAUUCUUUUAAAAUAAAAAUUGCUUUGCACUAUAGAGAAAGGAAGAAUGUAUAUAUGACACUUUUAGAGCUGGUCUUGGAGGAGAGUCAUGAGUGCAGGGUAACUGGUUGGGGCUGCUGAGGUUUGAAGUAAUGAUUUCCUUGUUUUAGCAGAGUAGACUCUGGACUCCCCCUUACCGCCCCGCCCCAGCCACUUCCCUGGUUAGUCUAGCAAAUGAAGGACAGAGAGAUUAUUCUUAUAGUUGUGGUUGGAAAAACCCCCCCACCAAUUAGUUUAUUGAAAAAAGAUAGAUUUCAGUCUAUAUCUUGAGUUGUUUUUAUGCCAGUAAGUUUUCUAUAACCCUCUUUCUUCCCCAUUUUAGGAGAUCGUUUUAUAUUAAGUUCAAACAACCAUGUCAUUCCUUAUUAGCCUUCAGUUUCAUUCAUUUUUUUCCUAAAGCAUUUUACCUCUUAUACUGUGUUAAAACAGGUUUUUAUGAUGCAGGUUUUCUUUUUUCUCAAAUCUUUAAUUGAGACCUGAUUUUAGUAGUUUGCAGCAUGUUAUACAAGUCUUUUUGAAAAGUAAAUUAGAGAAUGUUGAAAAAUUAUUUUAAUGUACAGGAUUUUGUAUUUUGAAAUAAUUCAGAGUAUGAAACAGCUCCUAAUAACUUGAGCAUUAUUAUUCUUUCUGUCCUAUGCUUUUGUAAUAUCAUAUGUUAUUUCAUCAGAUGGGAUUGGAAAGAAAAAGAAGAAUAUAGCUUAAAGGGUAAAGAACUAGAAGAAACAAAUUUAAACAAAAGCAGUCAAACUGUUUAAAUGUUUUUAUUUGAAGUUUAUCAAAAGGAUGUACUAUUUUUAAAUAAAUAAGGCACUCAUAUUAUCAAAAUAGUUUAUUAUUUAUAAUUGGAAUUCUCUUUUUAUUCUGUUAUUUUCUUGACUUUGGUAAGAGAAGGUUAGAUUAUACCAAAAAUGAUUAAUUUUUAAAGGUAAAAUUCACAUAACAUAAAAUUAACAUUUUACUCAUUUAAAAGGAUGCAGUUCAGUGGUUUUAAUAUAUUUGCAAUGUUAUAUAACCAUCACCACUGUCUUAUUCCAGAACAUUCUCAAUUCCUAGAAGAAACCCUGUUCCCAUUAAGUAGUUAUUCUACCUAGAACCUGACAACCACAGUCCUCUCGUCUGCAUAGAUUUCUCUCUUCUGGGCAUUCCAGUUGUAGACACUUCCCAUUCUCUGUCCUGAGCCAUCUUCUCCAGAGAGGCCUUUAUGUACACUCAGAGUUUAAACUGGCCCUGCUCUUUGGGUGAAUUGCCACCGUCCACUCCUUUACUCAGCGUUUUUGGAUUGGCCGCUUUGUGCUUGGCACUAGACUAGGGCCAGGAUGCAAAGGUGAACGCAUUGUGACUGUUCUCGACUAACUUGCAGGCCCGUCUGAAAUCAGGUAUGUAAACAGAGCACCCGUAGUGCUGUUUGAUAUGUUCCUUAACAGAGAUUCGAACACAGAGGCCAGAGCUCAGAGGAGGGGAGGGGACAGCUCUGCCUAAGGGAGUUAGUUCAGUUUCUUAGAACAGAUGCCAUUUAAAUUCCAGUUUAAAAGGAGAGUUUGCCAAGUGAAAAUUCAGGAGAGAGGAAAAUAUUUUAGGCAAGGGAACUGUAUGUUUGAAGGAAUCUAAGCAUGUAUUCCUCCCCAAGCUAAGCUGGUGAGGGCAAGAGUUGUGUUUUAUUUAUGUUUAUAGUCAUGGCAGCCUGGAAGGAACAUGGGCUUUUUGAGUUAGAUUGGGGUCCACAUUCUAGACCCUUUUGACAUUCAGAGGCCUCAUAUAUAAAUAAGAGUUCCGUUUUUUGGUAAAAAUUAACGAGCUACAGUCACCUAAAGUAGUGUCCGGCAAGUAGGUGCUUUUAAAAUGUGAGUUUCGUUUUUUCACUUUCUUUCCCUUGAUCUAGCUACCCAGUGACCGACGUACAGUGGGUGGGGAGUAACUACUGGAACAGUGUUAAGUGCUUCCAAACAGUAUGAGAAAAGUGACUGAUACUGUUUCUUUUGAUGUAAAAUUUUGU